Molecule: ribosomal RNA, 520 nt
Filed under: uncultured Glomus
Lineage: Eukaryota; Fungi; Glomeromycota; Glomeromycetes; Glomerales; Glomeraceae
Description: SSU rRNA
Rfam family: Eukaryotic small subunit ribosomal RNA
Source: RNAcentral
AGCAGCCGCGGUAAUUCCAGCUCCAAUAGCGUAUAUUAAAGUUGUUGCAGUUAAAAAGCUCGUAGUUGAAUUUCGGGGUUAGUAAGUUGGUCAUGCCUUCGGUAUGUACUGGCUUUACUGAUUCCUCCUUCUUGACGAACCGUGAUGUCAUUAAUUUGGUAUUGCGGGAAAUCAGGACUGUUACUUUGAAAAAAUUAGAGUGUUUAAAGCAGGCUAACGCUUGAAUACAUUAGCAUGGAAUAAUGAAAUAGGACGUUAAUCCUAUUUUGUUGGUUUCUAGGAUCGACGUAAUGAUUAAUAGGGAUAGUUGGGGGCAUUAGUAUUCAAUUGUCAGAGGUGAAAUUCUUGGAUUUAUUGAAGACUAACUACUGCGAAAGCAUUUGCCAAGGAUGUUUUCAUUAAUCAAGAACGAAAGUUAGGGGAUCGAAGACGAUCAGAUACCGUCGUAGUCUUAACCAUAAACUAUGCCGACUAGGGAUCGGAUGAUGUUAUUUUUAAUGACUCAUUCGGCGCCUUACGG